RNAcentral lists this transfer RNA (64 nucleotides) under Ochthebius puncticollis. RNAcentral's name for it is "tRNA-Ala". Lineage: Eukaryota; Metazoa; Arthropoda; Insecta; Coleoptera; Hydraenidae. The record is from RNAcentral.
AGGAUAAUAGUUAAAUAUAACAUUUAAUUUGCAUUUAAAAAGUAUCAAUUAUAGAUUUAUCUUA